RNAcentral lists this ribosomal RNA (429 nucleotides) under Bacteroidota bacterium. RNAcentral's name for it is "Bacteroidetes bacterium partial 16S ribosomal RNA". It matches the Rfam family "Bacterial small subunit ribosomal RNA", at positions 355 to 776 of the family's 1533-position model. Lineage: Bacteria; Pseudomonadati; Bacteroidota. The record is from RNAcentral.
UAGGGAAUCUUCGGCAAUGGGGGGAACCCUGACCGAGCAACGCCGCGUGAGUGAAGAAGGUUUUCGGAUCGUAAAGCUCUGUUGUUAAGGAAGAACGAGUGUGAGAAUGGAAAGUUCAUGCUGUGACGGUACUUAACCAGAAAGGGACGGCUAACUACGUGCCGGCAGCCGCGGUAAUACGGAGGUCCCGAGCGUUGUCCGGAUUUAUUGGGCGUAAAGCGAGCGCAGGCGGUUAGAAAAGUCUGAAGUGAAAGGCAGUGGCUCAACCAUUGUAGGCUUUGGAAACUGUUUAACUUGAGUGCCGAAGGGGAGAGUGGAAUUCCAUGUGUAGCGGUGAAAUGCGUAGAUAUAUGGAGGAACACCGGUGGCGAAAGCGGCUCUCUGGUCUGUAACUGCCGCUGAGGCUCGAAAGCGUGGGGAGCGAACAGG